Molecule: non-coding RNA, 75 nt
Organism: Saccharothrix sp. ST-888
Lineage: Bacteria; Bacillati; Actinomycetota; Actinomycetes; Pseudonocardiales; Pseudonocardiaceae
Rfam family: ASpks TB sRNA
Source: Rfam
CUUCACCGAGCCCAGCCACAGCGGCCGCUCCUCCGAACGCUCCUGGCCGUAGGUGGCGAGCAGCGCCUGCGCCUC